UUUAAAAAAGGACGGCGUAAAGCUGUCGCUAAAGGAUGGACCUGCGAUGCAUUAGCUAGUUGGUAAGGUAACGGCUUACCAAGGCGAUGAUGCAUAGCCGAGUUGAGAGACUGAUCGGCCACAUUGGGACUGAGACACGGCCCAAACUCCUACGGGAGGCAGCAGUAGGGAAUCUUCCACAAUGGACGCAAGUCUGAUGGAGCAACGCCGCGUGAGUGAAGAAGGUUUUCGGAUCGUAAAGCUCUGUUGUUGGUGAAGAAGGAUAGAGGUAGUAACUGGCCUUUAUUUGACGGUAAUCAACCAGAAAGUCACGGGCUAACUACGUGCCAGCAGCCGCGGUAAAAU
RNAcentral lists this ribosomal RNA (345 nucleotides) under uncultured Lactobacillus sp. RNAcentral's name for it is "bacterial SSU rRNA". It matches the Rfam family "Bacterial small subunit ribosomal RNA", at positions 185 to 526 of the family's 1533-position model. Lineage: Bacteria; Bacillati; Bacillota; Bacilli; Lactobacillales; Lactobacillaceae. The record is from RNAcentral.